RNAcentral lists this ribosomal RNA (375 nucleotides) under uncultured bacterium. RNAcentral describes it as "bacterial SSU rRNA". It matches the Rfam family "Bacterial small subunit ribosomal RNA", at positions 524 to 898 of the family's 1533-position model. The record is from RNAcentral.
UACGGAGGGUGCAAGCGUUAAUCGGAAUUACUGGGCGUAAAGCGCACGCAGGCGGUUUGUUAAGUCAGAUGUGAAAUCCCCGGGCUCAACCUGGGAACUGCAUUUGAAACUGGCAAGCUAGAGUCUCGUAGAGGGGGGUAGAAUUCCAGGUGUAGCGGUGAAAUGCGUAGAGAUCUGGAGGAAUACCGGUGGCGAAGGCGGCCCCCUGGACGAAGACUGACGCUCAGGUGCGAAAGCGUGGGGAGCAAACAGGAUUAGAUACCCUGGUAGUCCACGCUGUAAACGAUGUCGAUUUGGAGGUUGUGCCCUUGAGGCGUGGCUUCCGGAGCUAACGCGUUAAAUCGACCGCCUGGGGAGUACGGCCGCAAGGUUAAA